GAAACUGCGAAUGCCUCAUUAAAUCAGUUAUGGUUUCUUUGAUGGUACCUUGCUACUUGGAUAACCGUAGUAAUUCUAGAGCUAAUACAUGCAGGAAUUCCCGACUUCGGAAGGGAUGUAUUUAUUAGAUAAGAAACCAUCUCGGGUUCGCCCGGUUGUGUGCUGAGUCAUAAUAACUGCUCGAAUCGCACGGCUCUACGCCGGCGAUGGUUCAUUCAAAUUUCUGCCCUAUCAGCUUUCGAUGGUAGGAUAGAGGCCUACCAUGGCGUUAACGGGUAACGGAGAAUUAGGGUUCGAUUCCGGAGAGGGAGCCUGAGAAAUGGCUACCACAUCCAAGGAAGGCAGCAGGCGCGUAAAUUGCCCGAAUCCUGACACAGGGAGGUAGUGACAAGAAAUAACAAUACAGGGCUACUUCUAGUCUUGUAAUUGGAAUGAGUACAACUUACAUCUCUUCACGAGGAUCAAUUGGAGGGCAAGUCUGGUGCCAGCAGCCGCGGUAAUUCCAGCUCCAAUAGCGUAUAUUAAAGUUGUUGCAGUUAAAAAGCUCGUAGUCGGAUUUCGCGGCGGGCCGAGCGGUCUGCCGAUGGGUAUGCACUGUUCGGCGCGUCCUUCUUUCCGGAGACCGCGCCUACUCUUAGCUGAGCGGGCGCGSGAGACGGAUCGUUUACUUUGAAAAAAUCAGAGUGUUUCAAGCAGGCAGCUCGCUCUUGCAUGGAUUAGCAUGGGAUAAUGAAAUAGGACUCUGGUGCUAUUUUGUUGGUUUCGAACACCGGAGUAAUGAUUAACAGGGACAGUCAGGGGCACUCGUAUUCCGUCGAGAGAGGUGAAAUUCUCAGACCAAUGAAAGACGAACCACUGCGAAAGCAUUUGCCAGGGAUGUUUUCACUGAUCAAGAACGAAAGUUAGGGGAUCGAAGACGAUCAGAUACCGUCGUA
RNAcentral lists this ribosomal RNA (935 nucleotides) under uncultured eukaryote. Its description in RNAcentral is "SSU rRNA". It matches the Rfam family "Eukaryotic small subunit ribosomal RNA", at positions 83 to 1033 of the family's 1831-position model. The record is from RNAcentral.